AGUUACUUCAUGGCUCAGGAUGAACGCUAGCGGCAGGCCUAACAUGCAAGUCGAACGAGAUUAAGAGGCUUGCUUCUAUGAAACAGGCGCACGGGUGCGUAACGCGUAUGCAACCUACCUUAAUCAGGGGGAUAGCCCGAAGAAAUUCGGAUUAAGACCGCAUAAAAACACAGGAUAGCAUUAUCCAAUGUUCAAAUAUUUAUAGGAUUAAGAUGGGCAUGCGUGUCACUAACUAGUUGGCGGGGUAACGGCCCACCAAGGCGACGAUGACUAGGGGAUCUGAGAGGAUGACCCCCCACACUGGUACUGAGACACGGACCAGACUCCUACGGCAGCAGUAAGGAAUAUUGGUCAAUGGAGGGAACUCUGAACCAGCCAUGCCGCGUGCAGGAAGACAGCAGACUGGGUCGUAAACUGCUUGAAUUCGGGAAUAAACCUUUCUACGUGUAGGAAGCUGAAUGUACCGAAGGAAUAAGGAUCGGCUAACUCCGUGCCAGCAGCCGCGGUAAUACGGAGGAUCCAAGCGUUAUCCGGAUUUAUUGGUUAAAGGGUGCGUAGGCGGCUUAUUAAGUCAGGGGUGAAAGACGGUGGCUCAACCAUCGCAGUGCCCUAUCUACUGAUGAGCUUGAAUACACUAGAGGUAGGCGGAAUGUGACAAGUAGCGGUGGUAUGCAUAGAUAUGUCACAGAACACCGAUUGCGAAGGCAGCCCACUAUGGUGUUUUGACGCUGAGGCACGAAAGCGUGGGAUCAAACAGGAUUAGAUACCCUGGUAGUCCACGCCCUAAACGAUGAAUACUCGCACAUAGCGAUAUACAGUUAGCGGCUAAGCGAAAGCGUUAAGUAUUCGGGCUGGGGAGUACGCCCGCAAGGGUGAAACUCAAAGGAAUUGACGGGGGCCCGCACAAGCGGAGGAGCAUGUGGUUUAAUUCGAUGAUACGCGAGGAACCUUACCCGGGCUUGAAGUUAGUGAAUGAUCUAUCGAUAGAUCAGUGAGCAAUCACACGAACUAGGUGCGUGAUGGUGUCGUCAGCUCGUGCCGUGAGGUGUUGGGUGACGUCCCGCAACGAGCGCAACCCCUAUGUUAGUUGCCAGCACGUUAAGGUGGGGACUCUAAACAGACUGCCUGUGCAAACAGAGAGGAAGGGACGACGUCAAGUCAUCAUGGUGUUUACGUCGGGCUACACACGUGCUACAAUGGAUGGUACAGAGGGCAGCAAGCUGGCAACAGCAAGCGAAUCUCAACGCUCCAUUCACAGUUCGGAUAGAGGUCUGCAACUCGACCUCUUGAAGUUGGAUUCGCUAGUAAUCGCGUAUCAGCAAUGACGCGGUGAAUACGUUCCACCCCUUGUACACACCGCCCGUCAAGCCAUGGAAGUUGGGUACCUAAAGUAUGUAACCGUAAGGAGCGUCCUAGUACCAAACCGAUAACUGGGGCUAAGUCGUAACAAGCAC
This 1454-nucleotide ribosomal RNA is filed under the name uncultured Pedobacter sp. Its description in RNAcentral is "bacterial SSU rRNA". It matches the Rfam family "Bacterial small subunit ribosomal RNA". Lineage: Bacteria; Pseudomonadati; Bacteroidota; Sphingobacteriia; Sphingobacteriales; Sphingobacteriaceae. The record is from RNAcentral.